UCUGUUGGCUGCCUGCAUGGUGGGCCUAGC
This 30-nucleotide non-coding RNA is filed under the name Rattus norvegicus (Norway rat). Lineage: Eukaryota; Metazoa; Chordata; Mammalia; Rodentia; Muridae. The record is from RNAcentral.